GUGGGAAAUAUUGGACAAUGGGCGAAAGCCUGAUCCAGCCAUGCCGCGUGUGUGAAGAAGGUCUUCGGAUUGUAAAGCACUUUAAGUUGGGAGGAAGGGCAGUAAGUUAAUACCUUGCUGUUUUGACGUUACCGACAGAAUAAGCACCGGCUAACUUCGUGCCAGCAGCCGCGGUAAUACGAAGGGUGCAAGCGUUAAUCGGAAUUACUGGGCGUAAAGCGCGCGUAGGUGGUUUUGUAAGUUGGAGGUGAAAUCCCCGGGCUCAACCUGGGAACUGCCUCCAAAACUGCAUGACUAGAGUACGGUAGAGGGUAGUGGAAUUUCCUGUGUAGCGGUGAAAUGCGUAGAUAUAGGAAGGAACACCAGUGGCGAAGGCGACUACCUGGACUGAUACUGACACUGAGGUGCGAAAGCGUGGGGAGCAAACAGGAUUAGAUACCCGUGUAGUCC
This 450-nucleotide ribosomal RNA is filed under the name uncultured bacterium. Its description in RNAcentral is "partial 16S ribosomal RNA". It matches the Rfam family "Bacterial small subunit ribosomal RNA", at positions 354 to 796 of the family's 1533-position model. The record is from RNAcentral.